UGGGGAAUUUUGGACAAUGGGCGAAAGCCUGAUCCAGCAAUGCCGCGUGUGUGAAGAAGGCCUUCGGGUUGUAAAGCACUUUUGUCCGGAAAGAAAUCCUUGGCUCUAAUACAGUCGGGGGAUGACGGUACGUGAAGAAUAAGCACCGGCUAACUACGUGCCAGCAGCCGCGGUAAUACGUAGGGUGCAAGCGUUAAUCGGAAUUACUGGGCGUAAAGCGUGCGCAGGCGGUUUGCUAAGACCGAUGUGAAAUCCCCGGGCUCAACCUGGGAACUGCAUUGGUGACUGGCAGGCUAGAGUAUGGCAGAGGGGGGUUAGAAUUCCACGUGCAUGACAGUGAAAUGCGUAGAGAUGUGGAGGAAUACCGAUGGCGAAGGCAGCCCCCUGGGCCAAUACUGACGCUCAUGCACGAAAGCGUGGGGAGCAAACAGGAUUAGAUACCCUGGUAGUCCACGCCCUAAACGAUGUCAACUAGUUGUUGGGGAUUCAUUUCCUUAGUAACGUAGCUAACGCGUGAAGUUGACCGCCUGGGGAGUACGGUCGCAAGAUUAAAACUUCAAAU
This 562-nucleotide ribosomal RNA is filed under the name uncultured bacterium. Its description in RNAcentral is "partial 16S ribosomal RNA". It matches the Rfam family "Bacterial small subunit ribosomal RNA", at positions 355 to 907 of the family's 1533-position model. The record is from RNAcentral.